GACGAACGCUGGCGGCGUGCUUAACACAUGCAAGUCGAACGGAAAGGCCCUGCUUUUGUGGGGUGCUCGAGUGGCGAACGGGUGAGUAACACGUGAGUAACCUGCCCUUGACUUUGGGAUAACUUCAGGAAACUGGGGCUAAUACCGGAUAGGAGCUCCUGCUGCAUGGUGUGGGUUGGAAAGUUUCGGCGGUUGGGGAUGGACUCGCGGCUUAUCAGCUUGUUGGUGGGGUAGUGGCUUACCAAGGCUUUGCCGGGUAGCCGGCCUGAGAGGGUGACCGGCCACAUUGGGACUGAGAUACGGCCCAGACUCCUACGGGAGGCAGCAGUGGGGAAUAUUGCACAAUGGGCGGAAGCCUGAUGCAGCAACGCCGCGUGCGGGAUGACGGCCUUCGGGUUGUAAACCGCUUUCGCCUGUGACGAAGCGUGAGUGACGGUAAUGGGUAAAGAAGCACCGGCUAACUACGUG
This 468-nucleotide ribosomal RNA is filed under the name uncultured bacterium. RNAcentral's name for it is "partial 16S ribosomal RNA". It matches the Rfam family "Bacterial small subunit ribosomal RNA", at positions 28 to 507 of the family's 1533-position model. The record is from RNAcentral.